Salvia splendens (bonfire salvia) is the source of this 658-nucleotide long non-coding RNA. RefSeq lists it as uncharacterized. The record is from RefSeq and is a predicted model, not a curated record. Lineage: Eukaryota; Viridiplantae; Streptophyta; Magnoliopsida; Lamiales; Lamiaceae. The transcript is spliced from 3 exons.
UUCAGAAGUAUGUUCAGAAGAUGAUAAGAACUCAAAUUUCACUUGCUCAAGAUGCUGAUUGUGUAGAAUGAAGAUAUCUACAAAUGAUGGUAUAAAUCUGUAUGCAACUUAAGGUAUCAGCCGCCACCCUAUGCCAAAAAGAAGAGCCACUUUCUGCAGCAAAAAAGAGUGAAGAUGAUCAAAAUAAAAAGCAGGGCACACAAUCGUUUAAAGAGAAUACAUGUAACAUGGAAUGUGUGGGAAGCUGGAGCGCAACUCCAUCUCAGCAACAAAUAUUGGAAGAUCUCCUUAGAUAAACCUAAAAGAUUGAAGAUGCCGAAGAAAGAGAAAAAUAUAAAUACCAACAUUGGAAAAAUGCAACAUACAUAUUUUCAAGACAACACCAUCAACACACAUAUUUUCAAGACAACAUCAUUAAUGACACAACAAUUUUCGAAGCACAAAUGUAGAAUACCAAAAACAGUAACAAAGAAAAAUAAAAAAAAAUAAAAAUGAAACAACCUCAUUCCCCCCUCCCAAAACAGUGUCAUAUGGCAGGUCAAAAAACUGACACUUUAUAUUUGUAUAGAUGUGUUUCAAAGAUCUCGUGAGGGAGCUAGGAACAUUAAUAUAUACUAUAGAUUAAGCAAGUGUUGUGAUACAAAGAUGCAUUAAUGGA